This 168-nucleotide non-coding RNA is filed under the name Blautia faecicola. Lineage: Bacteria; Bacillati; Bacillota; Clostridia; Lachnospirales; Lachnospiraceae. The record is from RNAcentral.
AAGGUGGCGGUUGCUGCUGCGGGGAUAAUAGGGAAUCAGGUGGGAGUCCUGAACGAUCCGGUCACUGUGAACAGGGAGUGUUGUCAUGGGAUGCCAUUGCAUGGAGAGAUCAUGUGAGAAGGUUUGACAAGGCGAUGAUCUGUGAGUCAGAAAACCUGCUGGGAAAGU